UUAAGUGAAUAAGGGCGCACGGUGGAUGCCUUGGCACUAGGAGCCGAUGAAGGACGGGACUAACACCGAUAUGCUUUGGGGAGCUGUAAGUAAGCUAUGAUCCAGAGAUUUCCGAAUGGGGGAACCCAAUAUCUUUUAUAGGAUAUUACUUUUCAGUGAAUACAUAGCUGAUUAGAGGUAGACGCAGAGAACUGAAACAUCUUAGUACCUGCAGGAAGAGAAAGAAAAUUCGAUUCCCUGAGUAGCGGCGAGCGAAACGGGAAGAGCCCAAACCAACAAGCUUGCUUGUUGGGGUUGUAGGACUCCAAUAUGGUAGUCUGUUAGUAUAGUUGAAGGAUUUGGAAAAUUCCGCUAAAGAGGGUGAAAGCCCCGUAGACGAAAUGCUGACAACACCUAGGAGGAUCCUGAGUACGGCGGAACACGAGAAAUUCCGUCGGAAUCCGCGGGGACCAUCCCGCAAGGCUAAAUACUCCCUAGUGACCGAUAGUGAACCAGUACCGUGAGGGAAAGGUGAAAAGCACCCCGGAAGGGGAGUGAAAUAGAUCCUGAAACCGUGUGCCUACAACAAGUCAAAGCUCGUUAAUGAGUGAUGGCGUGCCUUUUGUAGAAUGAACCGGCGAGUUACGAUUGCAUGCGAGGUUAAGUCGAAGAGACGGAGCCGCAGCGAAAGCGAGUCUGAAUAGGGCGAAUAAGUAUGUAGUCGUAGACCCGAAACCAUGUGAUCUACCCAUGUCCAGGUUGAAGGUGCGGUAAAACGCACUGGAGGACCGAACCCACGUACGUUGAAAAGUGCGGGGAUGAGGUGUGGGUAGCGGAGAAAUUCCAAACGAACUUGGAGAUAGCUGGUUCUCUCCGAAAUAGCUUUAGGGCUAGCCUCGGAAUUGAGAAUGAUGGAGGUAGAGCACUGUUUGGACUAGGGGCCCAUCUCGGGUUACCGAAUUCAGAUAAACUCCGAAUGCCAUUCAUUUAUAUCCGGGAGUCAGACUGCGAGUGAUAAGAUCCGUAGUCGAAAGGGAAACAGCCCAGACCACCAGCUAAGGUCCCAAAAUAUAUGUUAAGUGGAAAAGGAUGUGGGGUUGCACAGACAACUAGGAUGUUGGCUUAGAAGCAGCCACCAUUUAAAGAGUGCGUAAUAGCUCACUAGUCGAGUGACCCUGCGCCGAAAAUGUACCGGGGCUAAACAUAUUACCGAAGCUGUGGACUACACCAUUAGGUGUAGUGGUAGGAGAGCGUUCUAAGGGCGUUGAAGGUCGAUCGUGAGGACGGCUGGAGCGCUUAGAAGUGAGAAUGCCGGUAUGAGUAGCGAAAGACAGGUGAGAAUCCUGUCCACCGUAUGACUAAGGUUUCCUGGGGAAGGCUCGUCCGCCCAGGGUUAGUCGGGACCUAAGCCGAGGCCGAUAGGCGUAGGCGAUGGACAACAGGUUGAUAUUCCUGUACCAGUUGUUUUUGUUUGAGCAAUGGAGGGACGCAGUAGGCUAAGGAAUGCAUGCGAUUGGAAGUGCAUGUCCAAGCAAUGAGUCUUGAGUAGAGUUAAAUGCUUUACUCUCUAAGGACAAGUUGUGACGGGGAGCGAAAUAAUAGUAGCGAAGUUCCUGAUGUCACACUGCCAAGAAAAGCUUCUAGUGAGAAAACAACUGCCCGUACCGUAAACCGACACAGGUAGUCGAGGAGAGUAUCCUAAGGUGAGCGAGCGAACUCUCGUUAAGGAACUCGGCAAAAUGACCCCGUAACUUCGGGAGAAGGGGUGCUGACUUCGGUCAGCCGCAGUGAAUAGGCCCAAGCGACUGUUUAUCAAAAACACAGGUCUCUGCAAAAUCGUAAGAUGAAGUAUAGGGGCUGACGCCUGCCCGGUGCUGGAAGGUUAAGAGGAUGGGUUAGCUUCGGCGAAGCUCAGAAUUGAAGCCCCAGUAAACGGCGGCCGUAACUAUAACGGUCCUAAGGUAGCGAAAUUCCUUGUCGGGUAAGUUCCGACCCGCACGAAAGGCGUAACGAUUUGGGCACUGUCUCAACGAGAGACUCGGUGAAAUUUUAGUACCUGUGAAGAUGCAGGUUACCCGCGACAGGACGGAAAGACCCCAUGGAGCUUUACUGUAGUUUGAUAUUGAGUGUUUGUACCACAUGUACAGGAUAGGUAGGAGCCGAUGAGACCGGAACGCUAGUUUCGGAGGAGGCGCUGGUGGGAUACUACCCUUGUGUUAUGAACCCUCUAACCCGCACCACUAAUCGUGGUGGGAGACAGUGUCAGAUGGGCAGUUUGACUGGGGCGGUCGCCUCCUAAAAGGUAACGGAGGCGCCCAAAGGUUCCCUCAGAAUGGUUGGAAAUCAUUCGAAGAGUGUAAAGGCAGAAGGGAGCUUGACUGCGAGACCUACAAGUCGAGCAGGGACGAAAGUCGGGCUUAGUGAUCCGGUGGUUCCGCAUGGAAGGGCCAUCGCUCAACGGAUAAAAGCUACCCUGGGGAUAACAGGCUUAUCUCCCCCAAGAGUCCACAUCGACGGGGAGGUUUGGCACCUCGAUGUCGGCUCGUCGCAUCCUGGGGCUGAAGUAGGUCCCAAGGGUUGGGCUGUUCGCCCAUUAAAGCGG
This 2581-nucleotide ribosomal RNA is filed under the name human gut metagenome. RNAcentral's name for it is "bacterial LSU rRNA". It matches the Rfam family "Bacterial large subunit ribosomal RNA", at positions 1 to 2596 of the family's 2925-position model. The record is from RNAcentral.